AUUUUUUGAUAUAUGGUACACGAAAUGAAGAGUGAUAUAAGAUGCAGUAUCUUCAUGACUGAUAGGGAGAUUUGCUAGGAGCGAAAUUUAUUGAUUUAUAGCACAAUUAUUUAUGGUAAUUAAUCUUCGGAUUGGCUUUACAAGGAUUCCAAUUUAUUAAUAAAUCUUCGGUUACAUUGAAAUUGCCACUGAAUGCAAUCCGCCCAAGUGUGUCAAGUGAAACGGCCUUAAUUGUAUUAUUUUAGGGAAUGUACUCCAAUUAUAUUACGCUAAAACAAGACAAUUUAUGAAAAAAUAAUUUUAAAUUUGAUUAAAAAAAAACAAAUAGAAAUAAUGAAGAAAAAUUACUUAUUAUAGUAUCAGCGUGAAUUUCCAAGAUUCAACAUUCAAAAGAUUCAACACUUAAUUUAAUAUCAUUUGAUAUCAAUUUAACGUAUUUCGUGCCAUCUUUUUCAUAAAGCUCACCGACCAUUGUAUUUGUCGAUUUUAUGUUCGUUAGAAAUAAAUCAAUUUAACAAUUUUAAUUAAACGAAAUGAAUUAAAAUUAUUUAAAUUCGGAACUCCCCACUACUUUUAAUUGCAAAACUAAAAUUUUUUCUUGCAUGUUAUAAGUAGCAUUUAUUCUCAUUUGUGGUAAAAUUAACUCUUAACAGUUACUGAUAAAUAAAAUUACGAAAACAUCGGCAUUUAUAUAUUCAUAGUCAUCCCGAUUAUUAUCUAAUCGUCAAGUCGACGAGGUAUGAAUGAUUAAUAAAACUAUGUUUUAUCUAGAACUAUUAGAACAUAAGGCACUCUUUACAGAAAAAAUAGUGAUGGAGUGAUCUGCCACUCAAUAUUUCUGUAAUUUAUAAUGACUUGAUUUAGCUGCAGAAUUAAGCUGUUACAAAAAGGAUUUUCAAGGCUAAAAAUAAAGUUGCAUGUAAAAAUAA
Molecule: non-coding RNA, 929 nt
Organism: Onthophagus taurus
Lineage: Eukaryota; Metazoa; Arthropoda; Insecta; Coleoptera; Scarabaeidae
Source: RefSeq, a predicted model, not a curated record